RNAcentral lists this unclassified non-coding RNA (221 nucleotides) under Thrips palmi. RNAcentral's name for it is "uncharacterized LOC117644987, transcript variant X4". The record is from RNAcentral. Lineage: Eukaryota; Metazoa; Arthropoda; Insecta; Thysanoptera; Thripidae.
CUAACAACAACAACCCCGAGCAGCCGAAGUGAAGGAAGAAAGUUUUUAAUAAUUGAUAACGAAAAUGCCGUUUGAACGAGUCGCCGGCAGCUACUUUGCCACUGCGCCUUGUUGAGUGGCUGCAAGGGGAGUGCUGAAUCUGUUCGCUUCAGUGUUGUGAUUCCACCAAGUCUGCUCCCACUCGUCACAUCAAUAACCCUGACAACUUCGCCAUAUGGUUU